GUAAUGUGAAUUGCAGAAUUCAGUGAAUCAUCGAAUCUUUGAACGCACCUUGCGCCCUUUGGCAUUCCGAAGGGCACACCCGUUUGAGUGUCGUGACAUCCUCAAACCUUCUUGGUUUCUUGACUGAGAAGGCUUUGGACUUUGGAGGCUUUUGCUGGACCUUUGCUUGUUGAAGCCAGCUCCUCUUAAAUGAAUUAGUGGGGUCUGCUUUGCUGRUCCUUGACGUGAUAAGAUGCUUCUACGUCUUGGGUUACGCACUGUUUGCUAUAGAUCCUGCUUCUAACCGUCUCAUAGAAGACAAAYGGUCGACUUGACCCACAAACCUUGACCUCAAAUCGGGUGAGACUACCCGCUGAACUUAAGCAUAUCAAUAAGCGGAGGAAAAGAAACUAACAAGGAUUCCCCUAGUAACUGCGAGUGAAGCGGGAAAAGCUCAAAUUUAAAAUCUGGUGGUCUUUGGCCAUCCGAGUUGUAAUUUAGAGAAGCGUCUUCCGCGCUGGACCAUGCACAAGUCUCCUGGAAUGGAGCGUCAUAGAGGGUGAGAAUCCCGUCUUUGGCAUGGACCCCAGGGCUUCUGUGAUACGCUCUCAAAGAGUCGAGUUGUUUGGGAAUGCAGCUCAAAAUGGGUGGUGAACUCCAUCUAAAGCUAAAUAUUGGCGAGAGACCGAUAGCGAACAAGUACCGUGAGGGAAAGAUGAAAAGCACUUUGGAAAGAGAGUGAAACAGUACGUGAAAUUGUUGAAAGGGAAACGCUUGAAGUCAGUCGCGUCGACCGAGACUCAGCCUUGCUUCGGCUUGGUGUACUUCUCGGGCUGACGGGUCAGCAUCAAUUUCGAUCCUUGGAUAAUGGCWWGGGAAAGGUAGCACCUUUACRGGUGUGUUAUAGUCCUCUGUCGSAUGCAAGGGUGGGGAUUGAGGAACUCAGCACGCGCCUUGUAGGUGUCGGGGCCUUUUGGCCUACG
Molecule: ribosomal RNA, 962 nt
Filed under: uncultured Russula
Lineage: Eukaryota; Fungi; Basidiomycota; Agaricomycetes; Russulales; Russulaceae
Description: eukaryotic LSU rRNA
Rfam family: Eukaryotic large subunit ribosomal RNA (bases 326-962)
Source: RNAcentral